RNAcentral lists this ribosomal RNA (422 nucleotides) under uncultured prokaryote. RNAcentral describes it as "bacterial SSU rRNA". It matches the Rfam family "Bacterial small subunit ribosomal RNA", at positions 355 to 774 of the family's 1533-position model. The record is from RNAcentral.
UAAGGAAUAUUGGGCAAUGGACGCAAGUCUGACCCAGCCAUGCCGCGUGAAGGAUGACGGCCCUAUGGGUUGUAAACUUCUUUUGUACGGGAAAAAACCUUCGAACGUGUUCGAAGCUGAUGGUACCGUAAGAAUAAGCAUCGGCUAACUCCGUGCCAGCAGCCGCGGUAAUACGGAGGAUGCAAGCGUUAUCCGGAUUCAUUGGGUUUAAAGGGUGCGUAGGCGGGAUAAUAAGUCAGUGGUGAAAGCCUACAGCUUAACUGUAGAACUGCCAUUGAUACUGUUAUCCUUGAGUAUAGUUGAGGUAGCUGGAAUGUGUGGUGUAGCGGUGAAAUGCUUAGAUAUCACACAGAACACCAAUUGCGAAGGCAGGUUACUAAACUAUAACUGACGCUGAGGCACGAAAGCGUGGGGAGCAAACA